UGCAGUGUGGCUCAGUGGAAAGAGCAUGGGCUUGGGAGUCAAUAGUCAUGGGUUUGAAUCCCAGCUCUGCCA
Molecule: transfer RNA, 72 nt
Filed under: Ornithorhynchus anatinus (platypus)
Lineage: Eukaryota; Metazoa; Chordata; Mammalia; Monotremata; Ornithorhynchidae
Rfam family: tRNA
About the family: Transfer RNA (tRNA) molecules are approximately 80 nucleotides in length. Their secondary structure includes four short double-helical elements and three loops (D, anti-codon, and T loops). Further hydrogen bonds mediate the characteristic L-shaped molecular structure. tRNAs have two regions of fundamental functional importance: the anti-codon, which is responsible for specific mRNA codon recognition, and the 3' end, to which the tRNAs corresponding amino acid is attached (by aminoacyl-tRNA synthetases). tRNAs cope with the degeneracy of the genetic code in two manners: having more than one tRNA (with a specific anti-codon) for a particular amino acid; and 'wobble' base-pairing, i.e. permitting non-standard base-pairing at the 3rd anti-codon position.
Source: Rfam by way of RNAcentral